RNAcentral lists this ribosomal RNA (145 nucleotides) under uncultured rumen bacterium. Its description in RNAcentral is "partial 16S ribosomal RNA". It matches the Rfam family "Bacterial small subunit ribosomal RNA", at positions 340 to 500 of the family's 1533-position model. The record is from RNAcentral.
UACGGGAGGCAGCAGUCGGGAAUAUUGGGCAAUGGGGGGAACCCUGACCCAGCAACGCCGCGUGAGGGAAGAAGGUUUUCGGAUCGUAAACCUCUGUCCUUGGUGAAGAGGAAGAGACGGUAGCCAAGGAGGAAGCCCCGGCUAA